This 407-nucleotide ribosomal RNA is filed under the name uncultured bacterium. RNAcentral's name for it is "partial 16S ribosomal RNA". It matches the Rfam family "Bacterial small subunit ribosomal RNA", at positions 30 to 526 of the family's 1533-position model. The record is from RNAcentral.
AUUGAACGCUGGCGGCAGGCCUAACACAUGCAAGUCGAGCGGAGCGGCGGACGGGGGAGUAAUGCCUAGGAAUCUACCUGGUAGUGAGGGAUAACGUCCGGAAACGGGCGCUAAUACCGCAUACUAUCAGGUGAGCAUCGGUUGGAUUAGCUAGUUGGUGGGGUAAAGGCCUACCAGGGCGACGAUCCGUAACGGGUCUGAGAGGAUGAUCAGUCACACUGGAACGGAGACACGGUCCGGACUCCUACGGGAGGCAGCAGUGGGGAAUAUUGGACAAUGGGCGAAAGCCUGAUCCAGCCACGCCGCGUGGGUGAAGAAGGUCUUCGGAUCGUAAAGCACUUUUAGUUGGGAGGCGUUAUCUACAGAAUAAGCAACGGCUAACUUCGUGCCAGCAGCCGCGGUAAUAC